UGAUGUUACUCUGGAAGAGUUGGGGCAGAAUGCCAUUUGGGGCCAGCUGGUGAAACAUACAGCGCAGGAACUGCUUGGCUACACCUGCUACAUUCCCCGGGAUCAACAUACUGCAAAACAUCACACGGAGAAAGUCUGAGUUGGACAGGCAGUCGCGCCUCACAUGCUAUUCAACUCAUCUAUAAGCACAGUGAACAUCUGAGCGCACUGGUGCGACGGCUUUAAUGUCUCCUACCUCUCAGCUUGUCCAGAGAAAUUGCCACUGGAUGCCAACCUGAAAGAAGUCAAAGCAGUGGAUGAGGACUCUGGGAUGAAUUAUGCAUGAGUUCUACGGGGUCAUCGUGGGGAAAAGAGAGUGAGUCUAAAGCAACUGACCAGUGUCCCAGGUGCUGAUGUUGUGCGGCGCACUGGAUUGGUGCUCCAACUGUCGCUUCAUCAGCUGGCUCAUGGUCAGAGCUCCCAGAGAGCCUCGCUUCACCUGACGGUACUGAGCUGGAGAUCAGACACAGAGGACCACAUCUGGGUUGAAGUCACCUGCAGGGCCGGCCUCUUGAUGGUGUCCAGCAGCAGCCUGGCUCGGGUGGCCACAGCUGGGUUGACGUCCUCCACAGAAGCCAGGAAGCAGCAGAAAGCAUGGGCCAGCGAAUACUUCAGCAGGUGGUUUUUCGUCACUGCGCCAAUGUCCAGGAACCGACAGAGCACCGCCACCUUCUCAACUGGGAGUUUCCAUGGCACAGAAAGCAGGGAGAGUGAACAUUGUCAGUAACGAAGACAGCUCACAUGAGAAAAUGAGGAAGCAGAGCUGCCAGAUGUCCUGCCAUAAUUACCGUGAUAUCUUAAACAGACACAGCAGCAUGAGAUCCCAGAUGAAGACAAGUUGAUAUAUAACUAAGAAAUGAUUUCUUUGCAUGAUGCAUGGGUGUAUCAAUACACCUUUUCCUUGCUAAAGAAAUAAGAAAUGAUAUAAGUAUUAUAUGACUAAUAUACAAUCUGUUUAAAGCUGUUUAAUCCUCAUACAUUGUUGCGAUUAAAGGGUGGUGUUUAUAUACAGUUACAGUUAUGAAAAUUGUCCAAAUGUCCGCGUGUGAUGAAUGAAAUAAGAAUGCGACUUUAAAAUUCCUUCCUUUAAUUGUUGGAUGUUUUCAUCAUGACUGAGAUUAAAAUCGAGAAACAGUC
Molecule: long non-coding RNA, 1176 nt
Organism: Scophthalmus maximus (turbot)
Lineage: Eukaryota; Metazoa; Chordata; Actinopteri; Pleuronectiformes; Scophthalmidae
Exons: 3
Source: RefSeq, a predicted model, not a curated record